CCCGCCCCGCGAGGAGGUCAUCGCCGGAAUGAAACUUCACAUAAACGUUAUAAUCCAUACCUCAAUCGACGGAGGGAACAGAUCGACGUCAUCGAGCCUAUACCCCAUUCCUCACACACUGAGCUAAGGAGAGCACAUCUCACUCGCCAGGAGUCACAGCCCCUUCAUCAAGACGACACACCGCUGUGCAUAGAUUUGGCAUCCAGCGACAGCUGCAGCAGCAGUGGCAGUGAGAGUGACACAGCAGGGCGGGCAGUGACCACUUCCGGCUCUCACAGGGAGGGGAGGAGGAGGACUCGUUCACCCGCUCACUCAACCCCCAAUUCCUCCCCCGGCCCCAUACCCCAAUCAAUCAGCGACAGCUAUGACAGCAACAGCAGCAGCAGUGGUGAGAAUCGUACCAUUUUCAUCUCAGACAGUGACUCAGACGACAGC
Molecule: non-coding RNA, 435 nt
Organism: Procambarus clarkii (red swamp crayfish)
Lineage: Eukaryota; Metazoa; Arthropoda; Malacostraca; Decapoda; Cambaridae
Source: RefSeq, a predicted model, not a curated record